Non-coding RNA from Pelobates cultripes (western spadefoot toad), 1123 nucleotides. NCBI's taxonomy places the organism in Eukaryota, Metazoa, Chordata, Amphibia, Anura, Pelobatidae. The record is from the annotation of a GenBank genome assembly.
CUCCCAUUUACUACUUAUGUUUAAUUGCAUUUUUGUAACCACCUUAUUAUACUUAAAGUACCAAAUAGACAUAGAACAAAUAUUUGGACCAGGCAUCACAGAAUUGGUGUUAGCUGAAUUUAUUUUUUUGGCCUCGGACAUUCAACUCAUUUACUGGUAUGCCAUGCUAAAACCAUCUGGCAGACCUUUGAAUUGACCAGUCAAGUUGAGUGUCCAAUGGUGAUACAAAUGCAGAAUCUACCGUUGUCCGUGAUUUUCUCAUCCAGACUACAAACCAAAACCUCAGACCCAACGCAUAUGGAGUCUACAGUUGUGGUCACAAAGAAUAAAAACAUCAGCAUCCCCUUCAACAAAUAUUUUCCACAUUCACAAUUUAAAAGAAAACAUGAAAUCAGACAUAUAUUAGUGGUAAGCUGUUUUCAACCCAAGAGGGUGUAUUCCUUUAAAGAUGAAACUACUGAGAAUUUGGGGGCCUUAAGGACCACCCUAUCGUCUACUAACACAUAUGGCAUUUGCUGGACAUAGUCACCAGAAGUGAAAUGUGGACUUAGUAUUGUGCCACUUCAUCAUUUCAUACCCAUAAGUUAAAAUGUAUUUUACUUUUAUCAUGUUUUAUCCUCUGUUUUACCAGGAAGGGAUCGGGGUGAAACAUCAACAGGGGUAUUACACAUUAAGUUUAAGGAGAAUAAGGUUAAGUCUGUUCAGGGCUUCACUAAAAACAACAUAGACUAAAUAGACAUACAGAAAUGCUCAACAAGAUACCUAUAGUAAUUAUAACAACAAUACAACUAAUUAAGAAACAUUAAUACAAGGAAUGGAUAUCCUGUAGCAAGCAAAAGUUAUCUUACUCCACUGUAUCAUUAAGAGUACCUGUAGCAAGCAAAAUUUAGAUUACAGCGUAUUAUUAAGAUGGUGUUGGUCCGCUGUAAAAGUUGCAUUAUCUAGUGGCUCUAGUCUAUAUACAUGCGUAUAUGUACAGUAUGGAUCCUUCACAACAAACGUACAGUUUAAGGAAGAUGUGGUGUUUAGUUUACUUUACAGUUAAUCACUUAUGGGGACUUAACUACUGGACACUGAGGUGAGUAUUGUCUCAGUAGGAAUAUAAUGAACUCAUCAUGCAAAC